Small nuclear RNA from Tupaia belangeri (northern tree shrew), 108 nucleotides. The record is from Ensembl. NCBI's taxonomy places the organism in Eukaryota, Metazoa, Chordata, Mammalia, Scandentia, Tupaiidae.
GUACUCACUUUGGUAUCACAUAAUACUAAAGUUGAAAUGAUACAGAGAAGAUUAGCAUGGCCCUGGCGCAAGGAUGACACGCAAAUUCAUGAACUGUUCCAUAUUUUU